RNAcentral lists this ribosomal RNA (253 nucleotides) under uncultured bacterium. RNAcentral's name for it is "partial 16S ribosomal RNA". It matches the Rfam family "Bacterial small subunit ribosomal RNA", at positions 524 to 776 of the family's 1533-position model. The record is from RNAcentral.
UACAGAGGGGGCAAGCGUUGUUCGGAAUUACUGGGCGUAAAGGGCUCGUAGGUGGCCAACUAAGUCAGACGUGAAAUCCCUCAGCUUAACUGGGGAACUGCGUCUGAUACUGGAUGGCUUGAGUUUGGGAGAGGGAUGCGGAAUUCCAGGUGUAGCGGUGAAAUGCGUAGAUAUCGGGAGGAACACCAGUGGCGAAGGCGGUUGCCUGGAGCUUUGCUGACGCUGAUGCGCGAAAGCGUGGGGAGCGAUCCGG